CACGUAGGAGGCGAACGUUAUCCGGAUUUACUGGGCGUAAAGCGCGUGUAGGCGGUUUGAUAAGUCUGAUGUGAAAGCCCCGGGCUCAACCCGGGAAGUGCAUUGGAAACUGUCAGACUUGAAUACGGGAGAGGGCAGUGGAAUUCCUAGUGUAGGAGUGAAAUCCGUAGAUAUUAGGAGGAACACCGGUGGCGAAGGCGGCUGCCUGGACCGAUAUUGACGCUGAGACGCGAAAGUGUGGGGAGCAAACAGG
This 253-nucleotide ribosomal RNA is filed under the name uncultured prokaryote. RNAcentral's name for it is "partial 16S ribosomal RNA". It matches the Rfam family "Bacterial small subunit ribosomal RNA", at positions 524 to 776 of the family's 1533-position model. The record is from RNAcentral.